Thalassophryne amazonica is the source of this 146-nucleotide long non-coding RNA. RefSeq lists it as uncharacterized. The record is from RefSeq and is a predicted model, not a curated record. NCBI's taxonomy places the organism in Eukaryota, Metazoa, Chordata, Actinopteri, Batrachoidiformes, Batrachoididae. The transcript has 4 exons.
GAUUGCACAAUGGAUGCAAAAACACCUUUCUGUAUAAGUGCUCCAAUGUCCCUUGUGCAUUGUUUCAGCAUUGUAAAGACCAAAUUUCUUGGAGAUCCAUGCAUUCAACAAGUGUGCCCUGUGCUUCCACUCCACACUCCUCCGAC